Molecule: long non-coding RNA, 606 nt
Organism: Harpia harpyja (harpy eagle)
Lineage: Eukaryota; Metazoa; Chordata; Aves; Accipitriformes; Accipitridae
Exons: 3
Source: RefSeq, a predicted model, not a curated record
CGAAAUAUGACAACGGUUGGAGACCUCAAAGGGAAAAAUGUUCUAGCAAGUUUCUCAGCACUCAAGAGUGAAUGCCCAUGUUGAGAGAGGCUGCUACACCACAGCCCCUUGCCCAUGCUGCGGUCAGCAGGGAUGCAUUGCCUGGACGAUCUGCUUUGCUGCACGUAUGCCAUCAUUUGGGGACAUGGGAACGACCAGAGGUUGCUGCAUAGGGAAGAGACAUGUGGAUGGCAUCUGUGAUGACUCAGGUGGCUAAAACCAGACUGCAAACCUUCAGAGUCACUGGCAGACCUCUGGCCUUCAGCAGCCUCAGGCUUUUGCAUCAUUGCUCAGCAAAUUGCCCCAAACAAUUUUGGGAGGAACUAUUAAGAAAAAGUGUCUCGUAGAUGACCAGUGGCCAGCCAUCACAUCUGACUGGAAAAAACACUCUCACCACUUGGAGGGGAGGAGCUCAUGAGAAAGCAGUGACUCUUGGCAGUCCCCAUCGAGUGCAACAGAAGGUGUGCAAGAACCGUGCGACAUGGAAAUGGGCUGGCAGGGUGGACCAUGCCCCACACAGUGCCUAAACCCAGCUCUGGGUCCAGCUCUGAGCGUGAGGCUGUCCCA